Molecule: transfer RNA, 55 nt
Filed under: Ascoschoengastia sp. TATW-1
Lineage: Eukaryota; Metazoa; Arthropoda; Arachnida; Trombidiformes; Trombiculidae
Description: tRNA-Pro
Source: RNAcentral
CAAGGAAUAGUUUAUGUAAAACAGAUACUUUGGGGGUAUGAGAAUCAAUCCUUGG